RNAcentral lists this ribosomal RNA (446 nucleotides) under Streptomyces sp. 7LA12. RNAcentral's name for it is "bacterial SSU rRNA". It matches the Rfam family "Bacterial small subunit ribosomal RNA", at positions 1 to 459 of the family's 1533-position model. The record is from RNAcentral. Lineage: Bacteria; Bacillati; Actinomycetota; Actinomycetes; Kitasatosporales; Streptomycetaceae.
UAGAGUUUGAUCCUGGCUCAGGACGAACGCUGGCGGCGUGCUUAACACAUGCAAGUCGAACGAUGAAGCCCUUCGGGGUGGAUUAGUGGCGAACGGGUGAGUAACACGUGGGCAAUCUGCCCUUCACUCUGGGACAAGCCCUGGAAACGGGGUCUAAUACCGGAUAACACUCUGUCCCUCAUGGGGCGGGGUUAAAAGCUCCGGCGGUGAAGGAUGAGCCCGCGGCCUAUCAGCUUGUUGGUGGGGUAAUGGCCUACCAAGGCGACGACGGGUAGCCGGCCUGAGAGGGCGACCGGCCACACUGGGACUGAGACACGGCCCAGACUCCUACGGGAGGCAGCAGUGGGGAAUAUUGCACAAUGGGCGAAAGCCUGAUGCAGCGACGCCGCGUGAGGGAUGACGGCCUUCGGGUUGUAAACCUCUUCAGCAGGAAGAAGCAAAGUACG